GUCCACGCAGUAAACGAUGAAUACUAGCUGUAUGCGAUACACUGCAUGUGGCACAGCGAAAGCGUUAAGUAUUCCACCUGGGGAGUACGUUCGCAAGAAUGAAACUCAAAGGAAUUGACGGGGGCCCGCACAAGCGGAGGAACAUGUGGUUUAAUUCGAUGAUACGCGAGGAACCUUACCCGGGCUUGAAAUGCAGACGACCGACAGGGAAACUUGUCUUCCAGCAAUGGCGUCUGUGUAGGUGCUGCAUGGUUGUCGU
This 259-nucleotide ribosomal RNA is filed under the name uncultured bacterium. RNAcentral's name for it is "partial 16S ribosomal RNA". It matches the Rfam family "Bacterial small subunit ribosomal RNA", at positions 793 to 1055 of the family's 1533-position model. The record is from RNAcentral.